Molecule: ribosomal RNA, 756 nt
Filed under: uncultured bacterium
Lineage: Bacteria
Description: bacterial SSU rRNA
Rfam family: Bacterial small subunit ribosomal RNA
Source: RNAcentral
AGAGUUUGAUCAUGGCUCAGAAUCAACGCUGGCGGCGCGCUUAACACAUGCAAGUCGAACGAGAAAGUGGAGCAAUCCAUGAGUACAGUGGCGUACGGGUGAGUAACACGUGGGUAAUCUGCCUUUUAGUGAGGAAUAACGAUGGGAAACCGUCGCUAAUACCGCAUAAGCCCGAGAGGGGAAAGUCGCAAGACGCUGAAAGAGGAGCCCGCGGCCGAUUAGCUAGUUGGUAGGGUAAGAGCCUACCAAGGCAGAGAUCGGUAGCCGGCCUGAGAGGGCACACGGCCACACUGGCACUGAAACACGGGCCAGACUCCUACGGGAGGCAGCAGUGGGGAAUCUUGCACAAUGGGGGCAACCCUGAUGCAGCGACGCCGCGUGAGCGAUGAAGCCCUUCGGGGUGUAAAGCUCUUUCGGCAGGGAAGAUUAUGACGGUACCUGCAGAAGCAGCUGCGGCUAACUACGUGCCAGCAGCCGCGGUAAUACGUAGGCAGCGAGCGUUGUUCGGAGUUACUGGGCGUAAAGGGUGUGUAGGCGGUUCUUUAAGUUUGGUGUGAAAUCUCCCGGCUCAACCGGGAGGGUGCGCCGAAUACUGAGGGACUAGAGUGUGGGAGAGGAAAGUGGAAUUCCUGGUGUAGCGGUGAAAUGCGUAGAUAUCAGGAGGAACACCGGUGGUGUAGACGGCUUUCUGGACCAUAACUGACGCUGAGACACGAAAGCGUGGGUAGCAAACAGGAUUAGAUACCCCAGUAGUCC